CCCUUUGUGGUGUAGUUGGUAUCACACCCGGCUGUAAUGGAAGCAUGUCACCGGUUGGUCACCAGUUCGACUCUGGUCGAAGGGA
RNAcentral lists this transfer RNA (85 nucleotides) under Ascodesmis nigricans. It matches the Rfam family "tRNA". From Rfam's summary of the family: Transfer RNA (tRNA) molecules are approximately 80 nucleotides in length. Lineage: Eukaryota; Fungi; Ascomycota; Pezizomycetes; Pezizales; Ascodesmidaceae. The record is from Rfam by way of RNAcentral.